Molecule: long non-coding RNA, 2523 nt
Filed under: Olea europaea subsp. europaea
Lineage: Eukaryota; Viridiplantae; Streptophyta; Magnoliopsida; Lamiales; Oleaceae
Source: RNAcentral
UUUAUAAAGAUGCUAUGAAAUAUGUAUUUUCUUUCUCGAACUAGCCCAAAGUUGAACAUCUAUUUUUGUCUGUAUAGAGCACCCUUGGAUUAAAGGACAAGCACCUGAUAAGCCAAUUGAUAGUGCUGUGCUCUCAAGAAUGAAGCAGUUCAGAGCAAUGAAUAAGCUCAAGAAACUUGCACUAAAGGUAAAUUAUUAUUUCAUGCUUUCGUUUUAUAUCAAUUAAAUUGGAACAUUGAAAUUAUGAAUGUUUGUUCAAGUUUUGUUAUGUUUGUCAAGCCAGAAAUAUGAUACUUUUAAGUGAUGAUAAACCUUUAGUAGAGCAACUAUCUAUUGGACCUGCUGAUCAUGUCUGAUAAUUCUGUACUUCUUGAAUUUUUCUGCCGACUUCCUUCCAUUGGAAAAUACGAGACUAUCAAUUUUCUUCAAUAUGUAGCUUUAAUUGAUCUAGAUGGAUUAAAAUCAAAACCUACUCAAUAAGCACAUAAACAUGCAUUGUUUCUUAAUUGUCACAGUACUAGAAUUGGUACAUGAAACAUGUAUAAAGGAUAAAAUUUGGAACCCACUUUCAGUUUAUAGAAAUCUCUUUGCUUCAAUAAAAAUAUCUUGGUAUAAUUUGGCGUAAUUAUUAGGUAAGACUGGAAAACAUAUUCUAUAUAAUUAAUCUAGGGGCCAAAAUGUGGUGUUCGUAAAUUGGUUUUCUGUGAUAAACGUAGGUCCCACGCGGAAUAUUAAAACAUUUUCCAUUUUGAGGAAUAAAUUAACAUUAUUAUGAAACAACCUCAAUUAGAAAGUAAAGGUUAUUUGACUUCACAUGGAAAGAGCACUAUAGAGUAUUUAUUACGGUAAACUCAAAGAGUACUUUUCCUCUGGUCAUGAAUCUUAAUCAUUUUUGCAAACAAGUCAUAUGUGCAAUAUUGCUCAACUUAGAUGUAGAUGUUCUUUUCCUCUUACUAUGUACUGUUGCAUUUGGAAACUCCUGUAGGUCAUUGCACAAAAUUUAUCUGAAGAAGAAAUUAAAGGUCUCAAAGCAAUGUUCACAAAUAUGGACACAGACAAGAGUGGCGCAAUCACAUAUGAAGAAUUGAAAACUGGACUGGCUCGCCUCGGGUCAAAACUGUCAGAAACUGAAGUAAAACAACUCAUGGAAGCUGUAAGUUUCAUUCAGCUAUGUGAACACAAUUUGUUUAACCUUUAUUUGCCAUGACUGCUUCCUUGGAUUUAAACAUUUAUUCUAUAUAUCUCAGGCAGAUGUGGAUGGUAAUGGGACAAUUGAUUACCUUGAAUUUAUAACUGCCACGAUGCAUAGACACAAGCUCGAAAGAGACGAGCAUCUCUAUAAAGCAUUUCAGUAUUUUGACAAGGAUAACAGUGGGUAAGUAAGGGUCUAACUGUUGACAGUGCAUUUAUCUUGUCCACAUUUAUGGAUGUUUGGUAAGGUGGAUUAAACAACAUUAGAUAGUUUGAUGAAGAAAAAGGAGUCAAAAAAAUAUCUAUGGUACUUUCUGUUCUAUCUACACUCUGUACUUGAGGAUCAAGUUUUAGAAACCAUAUCAUUUUCACCAAGAUUGCAAUGGGAGUAAUGCAGAGAAUUCUGCUUGUUUCUGUUUACAAUAUUGAUCUUAUUAUAUAGUGAAAUUAUUGCUACCUUGUGGGAUUUUUCUUUCUUCCGUCAAAUUAUCCCAGACAUUUGACACCACCUGAUUUCCUAUUCAAUUUUGCUACACGUACAUUCUGGUUGAUACGUGGCCCAAAAUUUUACCAUUGAUAUGUUCGACACUUGAAACAAUCAAUGGCCUCGAUUUUGACACCUAUAGAAAUGUAAUCUAAGAUGUACACAAAGAAUUUACAAGUAGAUUUAUUCUUUCCUUAUUAUAUCGUUUCAGCUUCAUUACGAGAGAUGAACUGGAAAAUGCUAUGAAGGAGUACGGCAUGGGUGAUGAGGCCACAAUCAGGGAAAUAAUUUCAGAAGUCGAUACAGAUAAUGUAAGUAUGCCUGAUUCAAGAAAUGAGAUACACACUGUCUUCCCGAUUUAGAUAUAGACCAGCCUUAUAUUACUGCAUUUUAUAGGAUGGAAGGAUCAACUACGAGGAGUUCUGUGAGAUGAUGAGAAGCGGAACAACACAACAGGCAAAGCUCUUCUAGUGUCAAGGCAAUAAUUUUUUGAGCAGCAUGUUGUUGGGACUUAUGAGAGAGUUCUGCAAGGAUGAGGAGAUGCUGGGGACGAGGUGCAAGAUGACAUGAUCUUGAUUUCUUGUCGGAUACUCUACUGUUUUCAUGGAAAUCGAGGGAGUACGGUUAAGAGUUUGCGAGCUUUUUUUGUUCAGAUAGCUGUUAAAUGGUGUUGUACUCGUGCAUACUCUGUUCCAUUAUUAAUUUGUGUUUAUCCAUAAUGUAUUAGAUAUCCAUCUAAUUUUAUAUGUACAAUGGUGUUUUAUUCUUGCAAGUUGAUUCGUAUGUGAAUGAUUAAAGAAUUGGAUUUACCUAAAUAUGCCAACCGUUCUCCCUGGAUUUUCAGGCUG